RNAcentral lists this unclassified non-coding RNA (520 nucleotides) under uncultured Glomus. RNAcentral's name for it is "SSU rRNA". It matches the Rfam family "Eukaryotic small subunit ribosomal RNA", at positions 569 to 1091 of the family's 1831-position model. The record is from RNAcentral. Lineage: Eukaryota; Fungi; Glomeromycota; Glomeromycetes; Glomerales; Glomeraceae.
AGCAGCCGCGGUAAUUCCAGCUCCAAUAGCGUAUAUUAAAGUUGUUGCAGUUAAAAAGCUCGUAGUUGAAUUUCGAGACCGGUUUAUUGGUCGUGCUUUUGUACGUACUGGUAUUAUUGGUUUCUCCUUUCUGACGAACUAUAAUGCCAUUAAUUUGGUGUUAUGGGGAAUCAGGACUGUUACUUUGAAAAAAUUAGAGUGUUUAAAGCAGGCUCACGCUUGAAUACAUUAGCAUGGAAUAACGGAAUAGGACGUUUGAUUCUAUUUUGUUGGUUUCUAGGAUCGACGUAAUGAUUAAUAGGGAUAGUUGGGGGCAUUAGUAUUCAAUUGUCAGAGGUGAAAUUCUUGGAUUUAUUGAAGACUAACUACUGCGAAAGCAUUUGCCAAGGAUGUUUUCAUUAAUCAAGAACGGAAGUUAGGGGAUCGAAGACGAUCAGAUACCGUCGUAGUCUUAACCAUAAACUAUGCCGACUAGGGAUCGGAUGAUGUUAAUUUUUUAAUGACUCAUUCGGCGCCUUAC